AUACGUAGGGGGCGAGCGUUGUCCGGAAUGAUUGGGCGUAAAGGGCGCGUAGGCGGCGCGGUAAGUCUGGAGUGAAAGUCCUGCUUUCAAGGUGGGAAUUGCUUUGGAUACUGCCGCGCUUGAGUGCAGGAGAGGUUAUCGGAAUUCCCGGUGUAGCGGUGAAAUGCGUAGAGAUCGGGAGGAACACCAGUGGCGAAGGCGGGUAACUGGACUGCAACUGACGCUGAGGCGCGAAAGUGUGGGGAGCAAACAGGGUUAGAUACCCUGGUAGUCCACACUGUAAACGAUGAAUGCUAGGUGUAAGAGGUAUCGACCCCUUUUGUGCCGGAGUCAACACAAUAAGCAUUCCGCCUGGGGAGUACGGCCGCAAGGUUGAAACUCAAAUGAAUUGGCGGGG
RNAcentral lists this ribosomal RNA (397 nucleotides) under uncultured bacterium. RNAcentral's name for it is "partial 16S ribosomal RNA". It matches the Rfam family "Bacterial small subunit ribosomal RNA", at positions 523 to 918 of the family's 1533-position model. The record is from RNAcentral.